This 52-nucleotide ribosomal RNA is filed under the name Lactifluus sp. EDC 14-501. Its description in RNAcentral is "partial 28S ribosomal RNA". Lineage: Eukaryota; Fungi; Basidiomycota; Agaricomycetes; Russulales; Russulaceae. The record is from RNAcentral.
UUGACCUCAAAUCGGGUGAGAMUACCCNCUGAACUUUAAAGCAUAUCAAUAA